GACGAACGCUGGCGGCGUGCUUAACACAUGCAAGUCGAACGGAAAUGCCCCUUUGGUUGUACUCGAGUGGCUAACGGGUGAGUAACACGUUAGUAACCUGCCCUUGUCUUCGGGAUACCUUCAGGAAACUUGGGCUCAUACCGUAUAGGAAUCCUUGCUGCAUGUUGGGGGUUGGAAAGCUUCGGCGGUUUUGGUUGUACUCGCGGCUUAUCAGCUUGUUGGUGGGGUAGUGGAUUACCAAGGCUUUGACGGGUAGGCGGCCUGAGAGUGCGACCGGCCACAUUGGGACUGAGAUAAGGCCCAGACAGCGAAGGGAGGGAGAAGGGGGGAAUAUUGAACAAGGGGCGGAAGCCUGAUGAAGAAAGGCCGCGUGCGGGAUGACGGCCUUGGGGGUGUAAAACGCUUUCAGCAGGGGCGAAGAUUGUGGUGACGGUACCUGAAGAAGAAGCAACGGCUAACUACGUG
Molecule: ribosomal RNA, 465 nt
Filed under: uncultured bacterium
Lineage: Bacteria
Description: partial 16S ribosomal RNA
Rfam family: Bacterial small subunit ribosomal RNA
Source: RNAcentral